AUUGAACGCUGGCGGCAGGCCUAACACAUGCAAGUCGAGCGGUAGAGAGAAGCUUGCUUCUCUUGAGAGCGGCGGACGGGUGAGUAAUGCCUAGGAAUCUGCCUGGUAGUGGGGGAUAACGUUCGGAAACGGACGCUAAUACCGCAUGCGUCCUACGGGAGAAAGCAGGGGACCUUCGGGCCUUGCGCUAUCAGAUGAGCCUAGGUCGGAUUAGCUAGUUGGUGAGGUAAUGGCUCACCAAGGCGACGAUCCGUAACUGGUCUGAGAGGAUGAUCAGUCACACUGGAACUGAGACACGGUCCAGACUCCUACGGGAGGCAGCAGUGGGGAAUAUUGGACAAUGGGCGAAAGCCUGAUCCAGCCAUGCCGCGUGUGUGAAGAAGGUCUUCGGAUUGUAAAGCACUUUAAGUUGGGAGGAGGGGUUGUAGAUUAAUACUCUGCAAUUUUGACGUUACCGACAGAAUAAGCACCGGCUAACUCUGUGCCAGCCGCCGCCGUAA
This 500-nucleotide ribosomal RNA is filed under the name uncultured bacterium. RNAcentral describes it as "partial 16S ribosomal RNA". It matches the Rfam family "Bacterial small subunit ribosomal RNA", at positions 30 to 523 of the family's 1533-position model. The record is from RNAcentral.